RNAcentral lists this non-coding RNA (45 nucleotides) under Trichobilharzia regenti. Lineage: Eukaryota; Metazoa; Platyhelminthes; Trematoda; Strigeidida; Schistosomatidae. The record is from RNAcentral.
GUCCAAAUGACGAGUCCAAAAUAGGACGAAAUGUGCAUCAUGGAU